GAUGAACGCUGGCGGCGUGCCUAAUACAUGCAAGUCGAGCGAACAGACGAUGAGCUUGCUCCUUCGACGUUAGCGGCUGACGGGUGAGUGACACGUAGAUCACCUACUUCUUUUACUGGGAUGACUUCGUGGAACCGGUUCUAAUACCGGAUCAUAUUUCGAACCGCAUGAUUCGAUAGUUCAUGAUGGCUUUGCUAUCACUUAUAGAUGGACCUGCGCCGUAUUAGCUAGUUGGUAAGGUAACGGCUUACCAAGGCAACGAUACGUAGCUGACCUGAGAGGAUGAUCGGCCACACUGGAACUGAGACACGGUCCAGACUCCUACGGGAGGCAGCAGUAGGGAAUAUUGGACAAUGGGCGAAAGCCUGAUGCAGCCACACCGCGUGAGUGAAGAAGGUCUUCGGGUCGUAAAACCCUGUUAUUAGGGAAGAACAAACGUGUAAGUAACUGUGCAUGUUCUGACGGUACCUAAUGAGAAAGCCACGGCUAACUACGUG
RNAcentral lists this ribosomal RNA (497 nucleotides) under uncultured bacterium. RNAcentral describes it as "partial 16S ribosomal RNA". It matches the Rfam family "Bacterial small subunit ribosomal RNA", at positions 28 to 507 of the family's 1533-position model. The record is from RNAcentral.